RNAcentral lists this long non-coding RNA (303 nucleotides) under Ananas comosus (pineapple). Its description in RNAcentral is "long non-coding RNA (ACOM_LNC020029)". The record is from RNAcentral. Lineage: Eukaryota; Viridiplantae; Streptophyta; Magnoliopsida; Poales; Bromeliaceae.
UCGAAUAGGAUAGUAAAUAAGAGAUAAUAAAUUGAUUCGAGACAAAUUCAGGAAAUUUUUAAAAUUUUGAAAAAUUAGAUUAACUGAAUAAAUUCGGAAAGCAGUAGGCUUCGUCUGUAAAAUGGAACAGUUUUUAGUGAAAUGAAAAUUGCCACCCUCAAGGUCUGGUAGGAAGUCAUGGUGAGGCUCGUUUUUAGAUUAUGCGUGAUAAAAGCGCAGUUUAAAGAGGUUUACGACAAGUGAUCAAUAUAUAGGGUAGAAAUGGGUAUUUUGGUCAACGGUGCGACAUUUUAUGCGUCGAAU